GAUUCUGGCUCAGAACGAACGCUGGCGGCAUGCCUAAUACAUGCAAGUCGAACGAACUCUUCGGAGUUAGUGGCGCACGGGUGCGUAACGCGUGGGAAUCUGCCCUUGGGUUCGGAAUAACAGUUAGAAAUGACUGCUAAUACCGGAUGAUGACGAAAGUCCAAAGAUUUAUCGCCCAAGGAUGAGCCCGCGUAAGAUUAGCUUGUUGGUGAGGUAAAAGGCUCACCAAGGCUACGAUCUUUAGCUGGUCUGAGAGGAUGAUCAGCCACACUGGGACUGAGACACGGCCCAGACUCCUACGGGAGGCAGCAGUAGGGAAUAUUGGACAAUGGGGGCAACCCUGAUCCAAGCAAUGCCGCGUGAGUGAUGAAGGCCUUAGGGUUGUAAAGCUCUUUUACCCGAGAUGAUAAUGACAGUAUCGGGAGAAUAAGCUCCGGCUAACUCCGUGCCAGCCGCAGC
This 459-nucleotide ribosomal RNA is filed under the name uncultured bacterium. Its description in RNAcentral is "bacterial SSU rRNA". It matches the Rfam family "Bacterial small subunit ribosomal RNA", at positions 15 to 518 of the family's 1533-position model. The record is from RNAcentral.